ACCCGGAGGAAGAGAAAGAAAAUUCGAUUCCCUUAGUAGCGGCGAGCGAAACGGGAAGAGCCCAAACCAACAAGCUUGCUUGUUGGGGUUGUAGGACACUCUAUACGGAGUUACAAAGGACGACAUUAGACGAAUCAUCUGGAAAGAUGAAUCAAAGAAGGUAAUAAUCCUGUAGUCGAAAAUGUUGUCUCUCUUGAGUGGAUCCUGAGUACGACGGAGCACGUGAAAUUCCGUCGGAAUCUGGGAGGACCAUCUCCUAAGGCUAAAUACUCUCUAGUGACCGAUAGUGAACCAGUACCGUGAGGGAAAGGUGAAAAGCACCCCGGAAGGGGAGUGAAAUAGAACCUGAAACCGUGUGCUUACAAGUAGUCAGAGCCCGUUAAUGGGUGAUGGCGUGCCUUUUGUAGAAUGAACCGGCGAGUUACGAUUUGAUGCAAGGUUAAGCAGUAAAUGUGGAGCCGUAGCGAAAGCGAGUCUGAAUAGGGCGUUUAGUAUUUGGUCGUAGACCCGAAACCAGGUGAUCUACCCUUGGUCAGGUUGAAGUUCAGGUAACACUGAAUGGAGGACCGAACCGACUUACGUUGAAAAGUGAGCGGAUGAACUGAGGGUAGCGGAGAAAUUCCAAUCGAACCUGGAGAUAGCUGGUUCUCUCCGAAAUAGCUUUAGGGCUAGCCUCAAGUGAUGAUUAUUGGAGGUAGAGCACUGUUUGGACGAGGGGCCCCUCUCGGGUUACCGAAUUCAGACAAACUCCGAAUGCCAAUUAAUUUAACUUGGGAGUCAGAACAUGGGUGAUAAGGUCCGUGUUCGAAAGGGAAACAGCCCAGACCACCAGCUAAGGUCCCAAAAUAUAUGUUAAGUGGAAAAGGAUGUGGCGUUGCCCAGACAACUAGGAUGUUGGCUUAGAAGCAGCCAUCAUUUAAAGAGUGCGUAAUAGCUCACUAGUCGAGUGACACUGCGCCGAAAAUGUACCGGGGCUAAACAUAUUACCGAAGCUGUGGAUUGUCCUUUGGACAAUGGUAGGAGAGCGUUCUAAGGGCGUUGAAGCAUGAUCGUAAGGACAUGUGGAGCGCUUAGAAGUGAGAAUGCCGGUGUGAGUAGCGAAAGACGGGUGAGAAUCCCGUCCACCGAUUGACUAAGGUUUCCAGAGGAAGGCUCGUCCGCUCUGGGUUAGUCGGGUCCUAAGCUGAGGCCGACAGGCGUAGGCGAUGGAUAACAGGUUGAUAUUCCUGUACCACCUAUAAUCGUUUUAAUCGAUGGGGGGACGCAGUAGGAUAGGCGAAGCGUGCGAUUGGAUUGCACGUCUAAGCAGUAAGGCUGAGUAUUAGGCAAAUCCGGUACUCGUUAAGGCUGAGCUGUGAUGGGGAGAAGACAUUGUGUCUUCGAGUCGUUGAUUUCACACUGCCGAGAAAAGCCUCUAGAUAGAAAAUAGGUGCCCGUACCGCAAACCGACACAGGUAGUCAAGAUGAGAAUUCUAAGGUGAGCGAGCGAACUCUCGUUAAGGAACUCGGCAAAAUGACCCCGUAACUUCGGGAGAAGGGGUGCUCUUUAGGGUUAACGCCCAGAAGAGCCGCAGUGAAUAGGCCCAAGCGACUGUUUAUCAAAAACACAGGUCUCUGCUAAACCGUAAGGUGAUGUAUAGGGGCUGACGCCUGCCCGGUGCUGGAAGGUUAAGAGGAGUGGUUAGCUUCUGCGAAGCUACGAAUCGAAGCCCCAGUAAACGGCGGCCGUAACUAUAACGGUCCUAAGGUAGCGAAAUUCCUUGUCGGGUAAGUUCCGACCCGCACGAAAGGCGUAACGAUUUGGGCACUGUCUCAACGAGAGACUCGGUGAAAUCAUAGUACCUGUGAAGAUGCAGGUUACCCGCGACAGGACGGAAAGACCCCGUGGAGCUUUACUGUAGCCUGAUAUUGAAAUUCGGCACAGCUUGUACAGGAUAGGUAGGAGCCUUUGAAACGUGAGCGCUAGCUUACGUGGAGGCGCUGGUGGGAUACUACCCUAGCUGUGUUGGCUUUCUAACCCGCACUACUUAUCGUGGUGGGAGACAGUGUCAGGCGGGCAGUUUGACUGGGGCGGUCGCCUCCUAAAAGGUAACGGAGGCGCUCAAAGGUUCCCUCAGAAUGGUUGGAAAUCAUUCAUAGAGUGUAAAGGCAUAAGGGA
RNAcentral lists this ribosomal RNA (2158 nucleotides) under Staphylococcus aureus. Its description in RNAcentral is "partial 23S ribosomal RNA". It matches the Rfam family "Bacterial large subunit ribosomal RNA", at positions 208 to 2366 of the family's 2925-position model. Lineage: Bacteria; Bacillati; Bacillota; Bacilli; Caryophanales; Staphylococcaceae. The record is from RNAcentral.